AUUGAACGCUGGCGGCAGGCCUAACACAUGCACGUCGAGCGAGCGGCGGACGGGUGAGUAAUGUCUGGGAAACUGCCUGAUCGAGGGGGAUAACUACUGGACCCGGUAGCUAAUACCGCAUACUAUCCGAUGAGCCCAUAUGGGAUUAGCUAGUGGGUGGGGUAACGUCUCACCUAGUCGACGAUCCCUAGCUGGUCUGAGAGGAUGCUCAGCCACACUGGAACGGAGACACGGUCCAGACUCCGACGGGAGGCAGCAGUGGGGAAUAUUGCACAAUGGGAGAAAGCCUGAUGCAGCCAUGCCGCGUGUAUGAAGAAGGCCUUAGGGUUGUAAAGUACUUUCAGCGUGGAGGCGUUACCCGCAGAAGAAGCACCGGCUAACUCCGUGCCAGCAGCCGCGGUAAUAC
Molecule: ribosomal RNA, 406 nt
Filed under: uncultured bacterium
Lineage: Bacteria
Description: partial 16S ribosomal RNA
Rfam family: Bacterial small subunit ribosomal RNA
Source: RNAcentral